RNAcentral lists this ribosomal RNA (271 nucleotides) under uncultured bacterium. RNAcentral describes it as "partial 16S ribosomal RNA". It matches the Rfam family "Bacterial small subunit ribosomal RNA", at positions 524 to 794 of the family's 1533-position model. The record is from RNAcentral.
UACAGAGGGUGCAAGCGUUAAUCGGAAUUACUGGGCGUAAAGCGCGCGUAGGUGGUUUGUUAAGUUGGAUGUGAAAUCCCCGGGCUCAACCUGGGAACUGCAUUCAAAACUGACAAGCUAGAGUAUGGUAGAGGGUGGUGGAAUUUCCUGUGUAGCGGUGAAAUGCGUAGAUAUAGGAAGGAACACCGGUGGCGAAGGCGGCGACCUGGGACGAUACUGACGCUGAGGUGCGAAAGCGUGGGGAGCAAACAGGAUUAGAUACCCGUGUAGU